UACGCUUUUUCGCCUCCAAAAUCGUUUUAGGGUUCAGAAAGGAUCACAAGAAAAUUUCAAGAAUGUGUUUACUCUCCAAAAUCAAGGCGGGAAGUCUUCAUCUUUCUCACCGCCAAAACCAUAAACCAUAUCAAAUCGAUUUGAGAAAGCUAAUGUCGAGAUAUUAGUAUUAUGGAAGGAGAAAACACAUUGAUUGAAGAUGUGCCUAUAUUGGAAAUGGAGGAUGAGGACCAAAAUGAUGGAUCUGAUCUAGAUGAUUCAGAACAUGAAGACACAUUGGAUUACACUUCCAGCGAUUCCAAUAGCAAUAUAGAGACUAUAAAGAAAACAAGGAAGAGGGGAUUGACUCGAUUGCCAAAGUUACGGACCGAACAUACAAAUUCUGGUGGAAGAAAAAAACAUGUAAAGUUUGAUGAAUUUGGAAGGUUUGCAGGGAAGUAUAGAUCACAGUUACCAACUUAUCUGGGAGACUUAGUACGGGAAAGGGUAGGAGUUAGUGUUUUCAAUUGGAAGAAGGUAACAAAAGAAGUCAAGGAGAAACUAUGGGAAGAGAUAACGCGUUUUUAUGAAAUUGAGGAUAGUCGAAGAAAAUAUAUAAUGAAUCGGCUUGGUAUGCUUCUACGGAAUUUUAGAAGAAAAUUUUAUGCAAAAUACAUAGAGCCCAACUUAGGGAAUACCGCUAAGCUUAAAAGAAUUCCUAAACGAUACAGUACAAUAAUUCUUAGCCAAGAUCAUUGGGACAAGUUCGUUGAACACACACAGUCACACAAAUUCAAGGAUACGUCGAGAAAGGCGAUAGUAGCGCGUUCGAAGUCGAAUUAUAAUCACCGGAUGGGACGAGGAGGAUAUACGACUCUAAGAGAGAAACUGGUGGUCCAAGAAGGCCAACAUUUACCAAUGUUAAAGUCAUGGCAGAAAAACUAAUGGAACAUGAAAAACAAAUCAAAGAUGGAGAUGUGAAGCUUGAUCCUGGGAUGGAUGCCAUGACACUAGUCUUUGGCAAGGAAAAUGGUGGAUUCUUAAAAGGGGUUGGCAUAGGAGUGACUGCUAACAGAUAUUUCCACAUUCCUAGAACCGAAGGAUCUUCAAAAGAACAAAUUGCGGACCUAAAGUUUGAACUACAGAAUGAGAGACUUGAGCUGCAGAAAAAAGAUGAAGAACUUAAGGCGUUGUCAACAAAGGUGAGAGAAUAAGAUAAUACACUAAAGUUAGUUUUAGCUCAUCUUGAAUCACAAGGAACAAUGAUACCUAAUCUACCAUCUCAUCUGAAUCAGUCUCCAACACAAGUAUUUUCAGUGGACAAAAACAUUGAAUCUCAUGCCACUCCUGUUACUAAUACUAUCAUAGAGAAAACACCUAUCAUAAAUAAAGCAUCGACAAAUGAAACAGUUACACGAGUAAUGGCAAAAGCCACCAAAAUAACUGUUGAAUCUAAGAGUGCGACUACAAAUUCACAUCCAAAAACAAAAGAUACUCAUUCACCAAAACUCUCACAGAUAUGUAUUUGUAUUUUGACAUGAAAAUAUAAAUUUCUGUUUAUUGUUUUUUUAUCUAAAUAUGUGCAAUCAUUGUAGCCAAUGAAGACAAUGAAGUGCAUUCUACAAUAUCCAAAUAAUAGAAGUAAUGUUGCUUUUGGUACCGUUUACAUAUCUUCGGAAAGACAAACCAUUCAUGGAGUUCCACUUCAAGACGACUGCUAUAAAGUUUCAAUUGAUGAUGUGAUAAAAGGAGCUGCAUUUUUACCAUAUCCAAACGGUGAUAUCAAAUUAGUUGAGGAUGCACAUAAAACUUUUGUUGCAUGGCCAAAAUACCUUGUCAAAUGUGACGAAAAGGUACCACGAAUGGGAUCAACUCAAGAUGAUGAACAUAAAAGCUCAAAGAAACAAAGAAAAAGUUUAACUCAAGAUGAUGAACAUAAAAGGUCCAAGAAGUAAAAAAAAAUUAUAACGAGAUUUAGCAUUGACAAGCAUACAAGGAGCACUUUCAACAAGACUAAAGAAAUCUAGUUUUUGGUUAAUUAUGACUGUUUAUUCCUUUCUUUAACAUUUUUAAUAAACUUGUUCUGAUUACAAGGAUUUUUACCAUUUAAUUAGUGAAAUUAUGAAUGGAAACUUUUAUUUGAUUUAAUAUUAAUAUUGAUAUUUUCUUGUCAUUU
Non-coding RNA from Lactuca sativa (garden lettuce), 2155 nucleotides. The record is from RefSeq and is a predicted model, not a curated record. Lineage: Eukaryota; Viridiplantae; Streptophyta; Magnoliopsida; Asterales; Asteraceae.